RNAcentral lists this long non-coding RNA (2544 nucleotides) under Zea mays. RNAcentral's name for it is "long non-coding RNA (ZMAY_LNC003033)". The record is from RNAcentral. Lineage: Eukaryota; Viridiplantae; Streptophyta; Magnoliopsida; Poales; Poaceae.
UUGCAGUCAUUUUGUCCCACUCGUAGACCAAGGUUCAAUCCAACAAAAUGCAGACAUCACUCAUGGUUCACAGUUCUAGGCAUGGUUACAACCUACCAUCAAGUUGGGCCAAAGGCUUCUAAGUUUAAAACUUUAUAUAGUAAUAGCAAAAGUGUCCUGGAGAUGUAAAGCCUGCAAAUAUAAAGGGGAACAAUGAUUAGAUUCUCACCGACAGAAUUGGCUAGCGCUUUGGGCUGACAACAAUCAUAUAAAAGAACCAAGUUAUGUUGAUAAAAAAUAUUUUGAAUAAUACCAGCAAUCAUAUAAACUAAUAAAUACAACUAAGGUACUCUUCACCCACAAGUUAUGAUGACGGUAAAGGACCAGGUUAUGCUGACAGUAAAGGACUGCAACGAUUUACAUGUGGAUAAAUUUGUUAACAGGCAGAAUCAAUAAUUUUAUACUAGCAGUAUAUUAUUCUUUUAAAACUAUUGUUUACUAAUAACAACAAACUAGAGAGGAAUUAACAACAAACUAGCAGUAAUCAUUGUAGAGGGCUAUGGUAAUAGGUAAUACAUGUAGGUACACAUGUAUUAGUGCAUUUGUAUUUUUUUAGAUCACCGGAGAGGAUGCACUGUUCCCACCUGAAUUUCAUUACCACAGUUUCGGCAAAAAAGCAGUAAUGGUAGUUACAUUGUUGGGUCAUGAGCCCAGAGUUACAAAACAAUAGAGGCGAGAAAGUAGAUAAAUAUUAAAGCUAAAAGGAUCACUAAAACUUCCUAACUCUCUAAUUCGUGUGUGAUACACCCCAAAUUGAAGCUUUGAGAGCAAUUGCAAGUGAAUGCUCAGAUUAUUCUGAUUGCAUCUCCCUAAGCUCGCCACAACACAACUAAACCAAGCCUAGACAAUGCUGGGCUGGCCUGGCCUACAGUAGGAAUAUAUGAUGAUCAACCAAGCACUUUGCUUCUUUCCUCCUAGCUCUAGGGGCAGCAGCAAAUGGCCUUUGUUUGGCUGGUCCUGCUUUGGUUUCAUGGGUGUUCACACGGACGUGCUCUGCCAGCCUGUUUGGUUUGGAGACUGAAGUUCCAUGAUGCUCGAUCGGAUUUUGGGUCGGGUGAUUCAGUUCCCGGACUGCUUCAUCAUCCUCAUGCCUGCCUGUAGUCUUCCAGGCGCCAAAAGGCAAGCGAAGCAGGUGCCCGCGGAUGAGCGAAACACGGCAGCAGACGAACAGCCGGCGGUCAAGCGACUGAGCAACAGCAGGAGGAGCAUGUCCAGACACAACACGAUCUGGGCACCUAUACGGAACUGGAAGCGCGGCUCAACCAGAGCAAACUGGCCGCCUCCCCCAUGACCGGCCAGCCGCUCGCAUAUCGGGAGCUGGCACUGAAUCUCGCGCUUGGCGUCGUGAUCUAAGAACUCGCCGCCGCCUUGGAUCUAAGAAGAGACGCAAGAACCCUAAAUGCCCUAGUUGAGACAGGGAGCAAGAAGAAUACCGGUGAGAAGGCGACUGCCAGAGGAGAUCGAUGACGGAGAGAGGAAUCCCGUGUUCGUGUCACUGAUGCCGCCACCGUCGCCACCGGCGCUUGCCCUUCACGCGUGCGUUGUGCUGGCUCCGUUGUGGCUCUGCCGUCGGAGUCUGAUUCCACGCCACCGAGACCGGGUCUGAUUUCCAGGCCGGAGCGACGAGGAAAGGCCGGGAUGCGGCCCACACGGGGCUUAACCGAACACCUAUUUUCUCGUGGGCCAGUAUGUUUUCCAGAGAGAGACGAUCCAUGGGGUUUUGGCCUUGAUCCCGGCGGGGAAUAUGCUAAACGAAUAAGGCCUGAAGGGGUAUGCUGAAACAGCGAUCGUUGGUUUACUACUUCAUCAGGGACGGCGGGUUGGUUUGAGAUUGCGCCGAAGCGAUACGCGCUCUCGCGCUUCGGAUCAGGAUUCAACGAUGAUCGUUGCAUGAACCCCAAAAUCGUCCUUCACACGAUCUGCGGUCCAAAUCCGAAUCCGGUGAACGAAAGGGUAUGCCACGAUCUAAUCGAGCAUGUUCGUUGGGAAUUCAACGGCACAGGGCACGUCUUCAACCCUCAGUCGAGCUGGAUGAAGGCUCACGGACACUCAACCGCGGCGGCGCAUGCCGGCGAGGUCCCCGCACGGACGAUCCUACGUGGCGCAAACGCUACUGGCCCUAAUUGGAGUCACAGCAAACUUAAGGUAGGGCUAAUUACCUCGGUUUGGGAUGGUGGCGGCACUGCCCACACGGUGGCGUGGUUCUAUGACGGAGCAGUGACCACGACGAGAAAUUCCUGGCGCCCCGAUCGCAAGUCCCACCCGAAGAUGCCCCAAACCUUUUUGGCGUGUCCAAGUGAAGCACCACGACGACCGGUGUGGGCGAAUUCGAGGAUCUAGGCGCGGCGCGUCAACAGCUCCUCCAGGCGGCGUUCAUACGCUCCGAUUCUCUCCAUCUAAUGCACACGGGGUUCAACGAGACGGAACAGGUAUGGCCAAGGUGGGUGGAGAAGGCGGAGGCGACCCCAGAAGACAUUUAUAGAGAGCAGGGAAGUCCGACCCGAG